GUGGAUUAGAUACCCUGGUAGUCCUAGCCGUAAACGUUGGGUGCUAGGUGUGGGCGGUCAUCAACCCCGUCCGUGCCGAAGCUAACGCAUUAAGCACCCCGCCUGGGGAGUACGGCCGCAAGGCUAAAACUCAAAGGAAUUGACGGGGCCCCGCACAAGCGGCGGAGCAUGUUGCUUAAUUCGAUGCGACGCGAAGAACCUUACCUGGGCUUGACAUGCAGGGUGAAACCCGUGAAAGCGGGCGCUCUUCGGAGCCUGCACAGGUGGUGCACGGCUGUCGCCAGCU
This 286-nucleotide ribosomal RNA is filed under the name uncultured bacterium. RNAcentral describes it as "partial 16S ribosomal RNA". It matches the Rfam family "Bacterial small subunit ribosomal RNA", at positions 773 to 1060 of the family's 1533-position model. The record is from RNAcentral.